AAAUUGAAGAGUUUGAUCAUGGCUCAGAUUGAACGCUGGCGGCAGGCCUAACACAUGCAAGUCGAACGGUAACAGGAAGCAGCUUGCUGCUUUGCUGACGAGUGGCGGACGGGUGAGUAAUGUCUGGGAAACUGCCUGAUGGAGGGGGAUAACUACUGGAAACGGUGGCUAAUACCGCAUAACGUCGCAAGACCAAAGAGGGGGACCUUCGGGCCUCUUGCCAUCAGAUGUGCCCAGAUGGGAUUAGCUUGUUGGUGAGGUAACGGCUCACCAAGGCGACGAUCCCUAGCUGGUCUGAGAGGAUGACCAGCCACACUGGAACUGAGACACGGUCCAGACUCCUACGGGAGGCAGCAGUGGGGAAUAUUGCACAAUGGGCGCAAGCCUGAUGCAGCCAUGCCGCGUGUAUGAAGAAGGCCUUCGGGUUGUAAAGUACUUUCAGCGGGGAGGAAGGUGUUGUGGUUAAUAACCGCAGCAAUUGACGUUACCCGCAGAAGAAGCACCGGCUAACUCCGUGCCAGCAGCCGCGGUAAUACGGAGGGUGCAAGCGUUAAUCGGAAUUACUGGGCGUAAAGCGCACGCAGGCGGUCUGUCAAGUCGGAUGUGAAAUCCCCGGGCUCAACCUGGGAACUGCAUUCGAAACUGGCAGGCUUGAGUCUUGUAGAGGGGGGUAGAAUUCCAGGUGUAGCGGUGAAAUGCGUAGAGAUCUGGAGGAAUACCGGUGGCGAAGGCGGCCCCCUGGACAAAGACUGACGCUCAGGUGCGAAAGCGUGGGGAGCAAACAGGAUUAGAUACCCUGGUAGUCCACGCCGUAAACGAUGUCUACUUGGAGGUUGUGCCCUUGAGGCGUGGCUUCCGGAGCUAACGCGUUAAGUAGACCGCCUGGGGAGUACGGCCGCAAGGUUAAAACUCAAAUGAAUUGACGGGGGCCCGCACAAGCGGUGGAGCAUGUGGUUUAAUUCGAUGCAACGCGAAGAACCUUACCUGGUCUUGACAUCCACAGAACUUUCCAGAGAUGGAUUGGUGCCUUCGGGAACUGUGAGACAGGUGCUGCAUGGCUGUCGUCAGCUCGUGUUGUGAAAUGUUGGGUUAAGUCCCGCAACGAGCGCAACCCUUAUCCUUUGUUGCCAGCGGUCCGGCCGGGAACUCAAAGGAGACUGCCAGUGAUAAACUGGAGGAAGGUGGGGAUGACGUCAAGUCAUCAUGGCCCUUACGACCAGGGCUACACACGUGCUACAAUGGCGCAUACAAAGAGAAGCGACCUCGCGAGAGCAAGCGGACCUCAUAAAGUGCGUCGUAGUCCGGAUUGGAGUCUGCAACUCGACUCCAUGAAGUCGGAAUCGCUAGUAAUCGUGGAUCAGAAUGCCACGGUGAAUACGUUCCCGGGCCUUGUACACACCGCCCGUCACACCAUGGGAGUGGGUUGCAAAAGAAGUAGGUAGCUUAACCUUCGGGGGGGCGCUUACCACUUUGUGA
RNAcentral lists this ribosomal RNA (1476 nucleotides) under Salmonella enterica. Its description in RNAcentral is "bacterial SSU rRNA". It matches the Rfam family "Bacterial small subunit ribosomal RNA". The record is from RNAcentral. Lineage: Bacteria; Pseudomonadati; Pseudomonadota; Gammaproteobacteria; Enterobacterales; Enterobacteriaceae.